UUCUUCUGUGGUUGGUCCUGUGUCUUCAUCCCUAAUUAUCUAAUCCUAAUAUUAAAUAUUUUAUUUUCUUGAGGUAUGUAGCUGACACAGAUUUUGAGUCAUGAGCUCUAUUAAAAAAAUUAAUUUUGCAUGAUAAAAUGAAAUUUUAAAUUUUGCAUGAUAGAGGAAGGUGCAUUUCAGCAAUGCUUACCCUAAAAUAAUAGUUUGAUUUACUGUAGUACAUCAUAGAAAGAUAAUUCUGCAUAGGCAACAAAUUGAAUCUAAUUAGAAAACUCCUUCAUGAUAAAAUGCAUUUCACACAGAGUAGUUUCUGUAUUUAGCAGAUGAACAGUAUACAUAAUGGACUAAGGAUCUAAAUAAGGUAUCGAGACAUUGAAAGUUUUGSUUUGAUUUCACCUUGAUGUAUCAGAAACUUCUCAAAGACCUAUUUGAAAAAAAAUUGUAACAGAAAGAUUGUAGAGAAAAUUGGCAGGAGAAGAUGUUAACAAAAAGGCCUGGAGCUCCGUUUGUAGGAUUCACAGUGUAAAGCCUGCAGAUACUCGUUUCUAAGGGACUUCCCACCUCCCCA
Long non-coding RNA from Nothoprocta perdicaria, 568 nucleotides. RefSeq lists it as uncharacterized. Lineage: Eukaryota; Metazoa; Chordata; Aves; Tinamiformes; Tinamidae. The record is from RefSeq and is a predicted model, not a curated record. The transcript is spliced from 3 exons.